UGGGGAAUAUUGCACAAUGGGGGAAACCCUGAUGCAGCGACGCCGCGUGAGCGAAGAAGGUUUUCGAAUCGUAAAGCUCUGUCCUAUGAGAAGAUAAUGACGGUAUCAUAGGAGGAAGCCCCGGCUAAAUACGUGCCAGCAGCCGCGGUAAUACGUAUGGGGCGAGCGUUGUCCGGAAUUAUUGGGCGUAAAGGGUACGUAGGCGGUCUAUUAAGUCAGGUGUGAAAGCGUGAGGCUUAACCUCAUUAAGCACUUGAAACUGAUAGACUUGAGUGAAGGAGAGGAAAGUGGAAUUCCUAGUGUAGCGAUGAAAUGCGUAGAUAUUAGGAGGAAUACCGGUGGCGAAGGCGACUUGCUGGACACAAACUGACGCUGAGGAACGAAAGCGUGGGUAGCAAACAGG
Molecule: ribosomal RNA, 403 nt
Filed under: Verrucomicrobiota bacterium
Lineage: Bacteria; Pseudomonadati; Verrucomicrobiota
Description: Verrucomicrobia bacterium partial 16S ribosomal RNA
Rfam family: Bacterial small subunit ribosomal RNA
Source: RNAcentral